UGGGGAAUCUUGGACAAUGGGGGCAACCCUGAUCCAGCCAUGCCGCGUGAGCGAUGAAGGCCUUAGGGUUGUAAAGCUCUUUCACCGGUGACGAUAAUGACGGUAGCCGGAGAAGAAGCCCCGGCUAACUCCGUGCCAGCAGCCGCGGUAAUACGGAGGGGGCUAGCGUUGUCCGGACUUACUGGGCGUAAAGCGCACGCAGGUGGUAAGGCAAGUGGGGUGUGAAAGCCGCCAGCUUAACUGGCGGAGGCCAUGCCAAACUGCUUCACUUGAGGGCUGUAGAGGUAUGUGGAAUUGCCGGUGUAGUGGUGAAAUGCGUAGAGAUCGGCAGGAACACCCAGGGGGAAACCAGCAUACUGGACAGGACCUGACACUCAGGUGCGACAGCGUGGGGAGCGAACCGGAUUAGAUACCCCCGUAGUCC
RNAcentral lists this ribosomal RNA (424 nucleotides) under uncultured prokaryote. Its description in RNAcentral is "bacterial SSU rRNA". It matches the Rfam family "Bacterial small subunit ribosomal RNA", at positions 355 to 796 of the family's 1533-position model. The record is from RNAcentral.